UGCCUUUGCGAGAGCGGAGUUGGGUUCUCCUCAGCACAGACGCGGAGAGCAUCGCGAGGGCGGAGCUGCGUUCUCAUCUGCACAGAUUUCAGUGGUACUGCGAAGGCGGAGCAGAGUUCUCCUCAGAUGAUGAUUAUUCCCCACCUUCUAAGAGACAAAGACCAACGAGCCGCCACAGCCACCAGUCCCAGAACCCGCCAAUGCUGGGGAACGGAAAAUGAGGGAGUUCAACUCUGGCCCUCACAAUCCAGUGGAGGAGACGCAACUCAUCUGCCUCUGUCCCUCUGGGCACGCCUCGUGCCAGGUGCAUCUGUGGACAGGGGCCAUGCUCCUGGGCUUCCAAAGUUGGAGAAAGCUGCCAGGCUCAGGUCUGAAGGCCAGAAUUCUACAGUAAGUCCUACUGAGUCAAGGUGGGAGCAGGGUCGGUAGCUUCCGAGGCUCUGCGGGAGAAUCUGUUUCCUGGCCGUAGAGGUGGCCUGCACUCCUCAGCCUGUGCUGCCCGUCUCGAAUGACUGGAGUUUCCUGCUUCUGUCACUACACCUCCCACCCUCUCCAUCACCUGCUCUGCUCUUACAAGGAUCCGAAGAAAUGGAAUCAUCGUAUCGCUGAUCUACGUAAACAAACUGAAGAAUUGUCUGAAAGAAAAUAUGACAUGAACUUAUGAAUUCAAUAGGUGAAGAUUUACAACUUGAUAAAUCAACUUUGUCAGCUCGAGCUGUAAAAGCCAAAGGUCCGGUGAUGAUCCCAUACCCUUUUUUCCAGUCUCAUGUUGAAGAUUUUUAUGUAGAAGGCCUUCCCAAAGGAAUUUUUUUUUUUUUUUUUUUUUUGAGAUGGAGUUUUCACUCUUAUCGCCCAGGCUGGGGUGCAAUGGCACAACCUUGCUGGUCACUGCAACCUCUGCCUCCUGGGUUCAAGAAAUUCUCCUGCCUUAGCCUCCCAAGUCACUGGGAUUACAGGUGCCCACCACCACACCAGGCUAAUUUUUGUAUUUUUAGUGGAGAUGCGGUUUCACCAUGUUGGCCGGGCCAGUCUCGAACUCCUGACGUCAAGUGAUCUUCCCGCCUCGACUCCUGAUAUCAAGUGAUCUUCCCGCCUCGGCCUCCCAGAGUGCUGAGAUUACAGACGUGAACCCAUGCCUGGCCAGGAAUUUUGUUUUUUAGGAAGGCUUUCUACUAAUGGAAUUCCUGGCCUUGAGAGGAUGUUACUUUAGAAGGAAAGGAUUUUUUUGUUAUUAAAAGAGCCACCUAAGCUGAAGAUUCCCUUGAGAACAAGUACUGUCCCUAGUUUCCCAGUGCUGGAAUAUAGAAAAUGGAUGGACAACUGGACCUACCAUGAAAGACUUCUGAAUCCAGGAAGAGAAACUGACUGGGCAACAUGUUAUUCAGUGCAAGGAUUACAGGUAUGAGCCACCAUGCCUGGCCCCUACCCUGCCUACUGAGAACCAAAGGAAGGAUCCAAAUUCUCCUUAGCUCAACUCGAGCCAUUUCCUGAUUGCUUCAUCAGUGAGGAGCUGGUUAUUGGGCUGUCCAGGCCUCCCAAGCAGCACAGAAAUGAGGUGAAGGAGUUUUCCUGUUGCUCCACUCUGUAAGGAGUUGGAGGGUGAUGUUUACUCAUUUGCAGAGAGAGAUGCCUUGUAGGCACCUCAGCAUGGAGAGGGCCCUGAUUCC
Molecule: long non-coding RNA, 1667 nt
Filed under: Homo sapiens (human)
Lineage: Eukaryota; Metazoa; Chordata; Mammalia; Primates; Hominidae
Description: HSALNT0395494
Source: RNAcentral